GAUGAACGCUGGCGGCGUGCCUAAUACAUGCAAGUCGAGCGAACAGACGAGGAGCUUGCUCCUCUGACGUUAGCGGCGGACGGGUGAGUAACACGUGGAUAACCUACAUAUAAGACUGGGAUAACUUCGGGAAACCGGAGCUAAUACCGGAUAACAUGUUGAACCGCAUGGUUCAACAGUGAAAGACGGUCUUGCUGUCACUUAUAGAUGGAUCCGCGCCGCAUUAGCUAGUUGGUAAGGUAACGGCUUACCAAGGCAACGAUGCGUAGCCGACCUGAGAGGGUGAUCGGCCACACUGGAACUGAGACACGGUCCAGACUCCUACGGGAGGCAGCAGUAGGGAAUCUUCCGCAAUGGGCGAAAGCCUGACGGAGCAACGCCGCGUGAGUGAAGAAGGUCUUCGGAUCGUAAAACUCUGUUAUUAGGGAAGAACAAAUGUGUAAGUAACUAUGCACGUCUUGACGGUACCUAAUCAGAAAGCCACGGCUAACUACGUG
Molecule: ribosomal RNA, 497 nt
Filed under: uncultured bacterium
Lineage: Bacteria
Description: partial 16S ribosomal RNA
Rfam family: Bacterial small subunit ribosomal RNA
Source: RNAcentral